Molecule: long non-coding RNA, 2814 nt
Organism: Thunnus maccoyii (southern bluefin tuna)
Lineage: Eukaryota; Metazoa; Chordata; Actinopteri; Scombriformes; Scombridae
Exons: 3
Source: RefSeq, a predicted model, not a curated record
GUCACGCCUCGUGCCUAAACCUAACCAAUCCGGCCAACGAAGGCAACGAGUACUAGCCAAUCGGAGGCAGAAUAGGGCGGGUCGUGACUUCGUCAUCCUAGGAAAAAAAUAAUUUGCCAACGGGAGAAGGGAAGGAGGCGGCUGUCAAGCGAAACCAUGACAACCCCGGAUAUUGGGCGAAACAAGUUUCAAAAUAACCUCUCGUCUCUAACUUACUAUUUUUAACACAUUCAAGCAGUGUGUGAAAUGCAAGUGACUUUCUGUAAAUGUUAUUAAAUCUUUGAGCAUUUUUAUUAUAAAAAUAAAAACAUGAGGGAUGUAAUUUUAAGCGAUUUUCUUAAUCGAUAAUCGGCCGCAUUAACAAUCGAUUAUCGAUUAAUCAUUAACAAUUUAUGAAUUACGGUGGACAUAUUUUUCCAUCAUUAAAAGAGUAACAGCAAAUACUUGUAACGUUGUCCAGCAAACAUCUACACAACAUUUUCAGUUACACCGCAUGUCCCUCAUCUUCUGUGUUAUCGGUUAAUACAGUUUUUAAAUCGCUUAAAUUAUUAACAGCAAUUAAUCGAUAAUCAAUGAAUCAUUGACAUCCCUAAAAAAUAUAUUGCAAUUAAACCUUUUAUGGCAUUUCAAUGCAAUUUGCUCCGCCUCUGCGUACUUGAAACGUCCAAUAAAACAUGUGAACGUGAACUAAUUCAUAAUGUAUACAAAAAGUCUCGAUCUCUUGUAUCGUGCCUAACUUUUGUGGAUCAUAACAUAUCAGGUAUGGAAUUAAUCUGCAGACGCUCCUGUUCAAGAUGAGAACAAACUUUUCUGUGGAUGUCAGUUUUUGAGCCACAGCAAAGGCCAAAAUGCGGCCUGCAGAUUACCAGAAAUACCCCAACUGGCCGGUUAAGAGGAGUCAAUGACGGUAUGAAACGUGUUAUAAAAUAGGUUUUUCAACAAUUGUGAAUCACUGCAACCACGAGAGGUCCUUGAGCAUACAGUCAUACAUGUGCACAAAAAAUAUUAGGCUGAUAGGUCCAGUAGUAUGCAGGAUUAGCUGUGGACAGAUACACACACACACACACACACACACACACACACACACACAACCAAAUACAUGAUCUCCUCUAGGCUUACACCUAGUAGAGAUAAAUAAAUAGACCAAUUAAAAACGCAACCGAGCUUCUUCUUGUCAAGCUACUUGGAUCUAGUGGCUGAAGUUAUGUCUAUUCUGGUUUGGAGGUACCGUCCACAGCACCAGGACCCCCCUGAUUGUCACACUGCAUUCAAGAGUGAUAAAACAAGGCGCUGAGGUCGCAUUGAUUAGGGUUCCUGCUCACAUUCUGGGUGACGAAAGAGUGGACAAAAUAGCCAAACAAGCAAUUAGAGUAAAGGAAAGGAAACAGAGACAUCAUCAUCCAUCCAAACCCUCAAAAUCAGAGGUAAAGGGUGUUGUGUGGAAGAAGAUCAAUGAAGAGUGGCAACAGCACUGGGAUCAGGAGAUAAGGGGGAGACAAUUGAUUCAAAAUAGAGUGAGGAAACAGAGGAGGGGGUAAUAAUAACUAGAUUAAGAAUAGGACACAGCGAUCUAUACAGCAUACUUAAUAUUAGAGGGAAGCACCCAACCGGUCUUUGUGAGCAUUGUCAAUUACUAUUAACUCAUUAAAAUACAGUUUCAGAUUUUUUUUUGCUUAUGAAAACAGAAAAAAGGGCAAUUUCACUGCUUUUUCCCCCAUCCAGAUUAAAAAAAACACUAUACUUAGACUUGUCAAAUCUUAAUAAUAAUAAUCUGAGUUUUAACGAGUCUCUGGGGUCUCCUUAUUAAUCUAGUCCAGAUUUGACAAGUCUAAGUAUAGUGGUUUUUGAUCUGGAUCUGUUUUAAUGGGGUGUGUAUGGGGGGAAAGCCGUGAAAUCGCCCUUUUUUAAUGUAAUUAUAAACAAAAUAUAGGUUUUCAAUAUCUGAAAGUGGGUUUAAACAGCGUCAAGGCUUUCUCUGCGAUGUCUAACACCUUUUUUCACAAGUGUAAAAUGGUGAAAAAACGGAGAAUUAGCCGCUAAAUCUAUAUUUUUUUAUGUUUCCCUUAAAUGUUCCCUUGACUACGAGUCGGAAGCUAACUUCAGCCUCAAUUCUUGAGCUUACUUCGUACAUUUUUUAGAGAUUAAGUUUGUUAACCUCUGAGAAAAGCCCAAUAAUUAAUCUUUUCGUGCAGAUAUUUAACGAUAAUAAGCUACUUAACAGCCGGUAGCGGAAGAGACUUCGCAUUAGCGCCGCGUUUUGAUUAUUUGAUUAACACAAUUUUUAAGCCUCAAACCCAGGUGUGCCGGAUUAACCGUCUCUAUAGGGGACACAGGUGAGGUGAAGUUAAAUUAAUCGAUUUAAUUCAAGGGUUAUAAAUGUCUAAAUGUCUCAGGUCCGCUCUUAACGUCAUUGUUGUGUUUGUGACAACCAAACAUCGUGUUUUGUUGCAGUUAAUCAUCACAUAUGAAGACAGUUCAAGUGAACUUCGCCCAGAAUUGAUUUCCUCAAAUAUAUCACAACAUGGCACCGGCUUCCGGAUUGUACGUACAAGUGGAAGUGACCUCAUCACGCAAAAACAAAGGGGACGUUGGCGUGGCAAAAUAAAAGGUGUUUGAGGUGUGGGCUCCGGCGCGGCUGUACCUGGGGGAAAGAUACACCUACAGACAACACACGGUCACCUGACUUACUAACACAAAACAACAACAAAAACGGCUGCAUCUACUCUAGCCGAAGCGCUGCAGGGAGACUACAGGGGACACGACGGCGGCGUUAGUGCUGAGUUUCCUGAACACACAGCGAGACCUGAGUCAAAA